UAAUUUUUUUCCUCUUCAACUCUGCAUAAUUUUUUUCUUUUUCUUUUUUUUUUCUUUUCCUAAAGAAUUCUCUCUUCUUGUAGAUUUGAAAGCAAUUAUGGUGAACUUUUCAACAGUAUCUGUCUCCAGUGCAAUUCCUUUGAACUUCACGAUUGGAUUUUGCUCCUUUUUCUUUGCAGAAAUGGAACUGAAACACAUCAGUUACCUUAUGGUAGCACCAAUCUCUACUGGUGGAGUCUACAGGCUGCAGGCAAACCUUGAAGAAGGUCUCCUAGAGCAGCAUGAAAGUACUGGAGAAUUGGUGGAUACUGAAUUCUUGGCCCACAGCUUGAACACAGAAAUUGCAAGUCUGAGAAAGCUAGUCUAGAUCUGAAAAUGCCUCCCUGCAAUACUGUGUGCUAAGAACAGAGAUUUGGCACAUAAAUUAAUUAGAAAAGAGUUCUUGUGAAGUGCUUUCUGGCUCAAAUAGUUUCUUGCGUAGAGCUGUUAACCAUAUGGUUUGCUUUUUCUUUUUUGACCUUUUUUCCUGUGCUUAUAUACUCUUACCUUUCUUACUGAACAUAAAGAGAAAAGAUACUAAUCACCACUUAUAACAGGUUGUGAUAAAUCAAUAUAUGUUUGACAGGUAGGUUUAGAAAAAUGUGUUUCUUGAACUAUUUUACAUUUUUAAUGCUCUAUACCCAUUAUCUAAGAAUGUUGAAGAUGUUUUGAGCCCAGAACUGGGAGAUCUUUCUGCUGGUGCCCUCAAGGGUACUAUGGCUGUGAAUUUACACAUCAAAUGGUGGUUGAGGUCUAAAUGAAUAAAUUUUGGCCUUGACCACUAACA
This 826-nucleotide long non-coding RNA is filed under the name Coturnix japonica (Japanese quail). Its description in RNAcentral is "lncRNA (ENSCJPG00005000856.1)". The record is from RNAcentral. Lineage: Eukaryota; Metazoa; Chordata; Aves; Galliformes; Phasianidae.